RNAcentral lists this ribosomal RNA (253 nucleotides) under uncultured bacterium. RNAcentral describes it as "partial 16S ribosomal RNA". It matches the Rfam family "Bacterial small subunit ribosomal RNA", at positions 524 to 776 of the family's 1533-position model. The record is from RNAcentral.
UACAGGGGGGGCAAGCGUUGUUCGGAAUUACUGGGCGUAAAGGGUUCGUAGGUGGCCAACUAAGUCAGACGUGAAAUCCCUCAGCUUAACUGGGGAACUGCGUCUGAGACUGGAUGGCUUGAGUGCAGGAGAGGAACGCGGAAUUCCAGGUGUAGCGGUGAAAUGCGUAGAUAUCUGGAGGAACACCGGUGGCGAAGGCGGCGUUCUGGACUGCAACUGACACUGAGGAACGAAAGCCAGGGGAGCAAACGGG